GCAGAGGACUUGGAUACAAAGUGGAAAAGUGGAACAGGGGGUAUGAAAGAGUUAUCUUUGCCCAGGGGUCAAACCUAUGAGAACCGCCCCUGCUAGUUUUAGACUCUGACCACAGAAAGAUAACAGGGGGAAUCUGGCCUCUGCACUGCCAUCGUCCCCUACCCUCUCUCCGCAGACUGAAUCACCCAGCACCUGGGUUUUUUUUUUCCUUUCACUCUGUGUUCUCACAAUCAGAAUACAUACUGUAUUUUCCAGCUGACCUACAAGUUAACAAAAAGACUUUCAGGGGAGAUGCCUGCCUACACGUGAUGAAAGGCUUCAGGCUCUGUGACUUACCAUGAUAAAAAGGCUCUGCAGGUGUAAAAGCUCCAUCUCCACUGCAGCUCCAUCAUGUGUGAAAUAGCCUCACUGUGUGUGCCUGCAUAGCUGCUUCUGAGCUGUUGGAGAAAACUUCGGAGCCAGCUCUACAGUUUCAGCCUCAGCUUUGGAUCUGCUCAUGCUACAUUGUAGAUGUAUGAGGACCCUUUGAACAAGGUACUCACGUCCGCUUUUAAUUAGCUAAUUUGUAUCCUGCUAAUGACCACUUAGUGCUGAAUGCAAUCCAGGCUAACUGUCCUACACUAUUUGCCUGGAAUCUGGAAUAGACUUUGUAGCCUUGUUGAACCCUAGUUGCCAUACAUGUGCCGAGUCUGUGCUAGAUUAAUUAAAGCUAGCUCAUGUAUGCCUGUGAGAAUUACAACCCUCUUGGAUGGCAGUAUAGGGUUUUUUCUUUAGAAUGUGGCUAGCUCAGGUGCUUUAAAUAAACUUUUUUUGCCUUCCAACCUUUUUUUUUUCCAGAGGGAAAAUUGGUUUAUAUCAUAUGAGGGCAUAACUUUUUACAUUAUGCUUAAUAUUUACCCACCUCCUGAGGUGUUGUGAGGAUUUUGAAAGUAAUAUUUAUACAGCAUUUUGCAGAUGAAAAGAAUUGCAUAAGUGAUAAUUAUUACCUACAUUUAUUUUCAUGCCUCAGUUGAAACAUCUUUUUGUCUAAGGUACUUAGUUUUUCUUCUGCUUCUUUUUCUUUUUUUAAUUAGUGUGUUAUUUAACUUUAUAUAAUAUUUUGGGAUAUAAUUCUGGAGAAGGCAGCUGCUAUACAGGUUAUAUUAUACUGUGUCAGAUGAUUCUUCUCUUUUUUUGUCUUUAAUCCCAUGAUGCUUUUACCAAUCCACUUUGCAACUAGAGGUUUAUUCAUAUCAGAAAAGAAAAAUAGUUUGACAGCUCAGAAAAUCAGCCAAGAUUCAGAAGGCCUAAAUUUGCUCCAUUCUGACACAGGUAUCUUGUCUGACACUGGGAAAAAUCACGUCGUUUCUUCAUGUCUCAGCUGGCCAUCUGUAAAGCAGAAAUGGUCUUUCCCUACUGUGUACCUGG
Pezoporus occidentalis (night parrot) is the source of this 1407-nucleotide long non-coding RNA. RefSeq lists it as uncharacterized. The record is from RefSeq and is a predicted model, not a curated record. The transcript is spliced from 3 exons. NCBI's taxonomy places the organism in Eukaryota, Metazoa, Chordata, Aves, Psittaciformes, Psittacidae.